This 253-nucleotide ribosomal RNA is filed under the name uncultured bacterium. RNAcentral describes it as "partial 16S ribosomal RNA". It matches the Rfam family "Bacterial small subunit ribosomal RNA", at positions 524 to 776 of the family's 1533-position model. The record is from RNAcentral.
UACGUAGGGGGCAAGCGUUGUCCGGAAUCAUUGGGCGUAAAGAGCGCGUAGGCGGCCCGGUAAGUCGGCUGUGAAAGUCCAGGGCUCAACCCUGGGAUGCCGGUCGAUACUGCCGGACUAGAGUCCGGAAGAGGCAAGUGGAAUUCCCGGUGUAGCGGCGAAAUGCGCAGAUAUCGGGAGGAACACCAAUGGCGAAGGCAGCUUGCUGGGACGGUACUGACGCUGAGACGCGAAAGCGUGGGGAGCAAACAGG